This 257-nucleotide ribosomal RNA is filed under the name uncultured bacterium. Its description in RNAcentral is "partial 16S ribosomal RNA". It matches the Rfam family "Bacterial small subunit ribosomal RNA", at positions 524 to 776 of the family's 1533-position model. The record is from RNAcentral.
UACAGAGGGGCAAGCGUUAUUCGGAAUUAUUGGGCGUAAAGGGCGCGUAGGCGGUCCAUCAAGUCUCUCGUGAAAUCCCUCGGCUUAACUGAGGACGUGCGGGAGAUACUGCUGGGCUUGAGUCCGGAAGAGGGGUGGUGGAAUUCCCAGUGUAGCGGUGAAAUGCGUAGAUAUUGGGAGGAACGACCGGUGGCCGAAGGCGGCCACCUGGGCCGGAACUGGACGCUGAGGCGACGAAAGCGUGGGGAGCAAACGGG